GGAGGUAAAUGUCCUCUAGGUUAUACUAUAGGACACGUCAGUGCAGAUCAUGAUAUUACACUAAAGCCGCUGAAUUACCUUAAUGAUUGGAAUUUUAUAUAUUGUUUUGGACAUUCCUUGUGAGGAUGGUUUCAGAUUUGUAAGUGGUAAUUGCCCUGAUCCUGGUGACCCUUGCCCUCUGUGGAUUCCUGUUGUACCGAUACCUGUGCCACAGCAAGGGUGUUUACAGAACCGCAGGUGAGCCUGCACCAGGAGUGGACCCAGAACAGGUCUACAAUGACACCACCGUCACUGACAAUAAGAAGGAAUACUUCAUCUGAACUGCUUAGCAUCAGAGGGAUUCAACCAAUGAUCUGCCUAAAAUUGCAUGGACUGCUCCAGACAUCUAAAUAGCCUAUAUAGAGAGUUUUAUAUGCAAGACAUAUGGGACAUGAGCCACUAGUCUGUGCUGUGGAGAAGAAUGUUUAGUUGAAGGGAUACCGUUUGAGCCAGAAGUAAAAGGAGUUGUUCGUUCAUGAUGUCAAUAACCUCAACAUCGAUUUUGGUAUGGUAAAGUUAUUGUCAGUUACUGGGACAAUCUUUUUUUUUUUUGCUGUCAAAUUGUUAUGCCUGUAUAUAGUUUAUAUAUCCAAACUGUAUAUUCGCUACUUCAGCAGAAAUUACACAAAAGUGCAUAUGCAAGAGUUAGAAUUUGAAUUAUUGAUCAGUAAUUAUUACGAGUUAUUAUCAGCUAUUAUUAGAACUCUAACAAUUGCCAAACAUUGGAGGCACUGUACAAAUUUGAUUUUGAGUCAUAAGUCACUUUAAUGUUCAUGUGUGGCCUUUUUCCUGUUAACCAUUUGGCCUGACUUUUUAUUAUUUAUUAAUGGCAGCAUUUUUAGUAGAAUAGUUGGAGAGCCCACUGUUACCUUGUAAAACAUUUAAAUAUAUUUUACAAAUUUUUUUUUUUUUUGAAAUUGACACGUUUUAUAAUUCAAGAUUGUGUUUUUGUUACAUAGCCAUGCUGUAACAGUGCCAAAUUAUAUAUAUAUAUUACCUCUGUCAUUAUUUGUAAAACAUGCAUGUGAUACUGUAUAUUUUUUGUUUUGUGCAGGGUUACAAUAGUAUCUUACUUAAGAAAAUGAAUGUAAUUUAUAUCA
Molecule: long non-coding RNA, 1139 nt
Organism: Ctenopharyngodon idella (grass carp)
Lineage: Eukaryota; Metazoa; Chordata; Actinopteri; Cypriniformes; Xenocyprididae
Exons: 2
Source: RefSeq, a predicted model, not a curated record